CCUACGGGAGGCAGCAGUGGGGAAUAUUGCACAAUAGGGGAAACCCUGAUGCAGCGACGCCGCGUGAGUGAAGAAGUAUUUCGGUAUGUAAAGCUCUAUCAGCAGGGAAGAUAAUGACGGUACCUGACUAAGAAGCCCCGUCUAACUACGUGCCAGCAGCCGCGGUAAUACGUAGGGGGCAAGCGUUCUCCGGAUUUACUGGGUGGAAAGGGAGCGUAGGUGGCAGGGCAAGUCAGAUGUGAAAACCCGGGGAUCAACCCCGGGAGUGCAUUUGAAACUGUCCAGCUGGAGUGCAGGAGAGGUAAGCGGAAUUCCUAGUGUAGCGGUGAAAUGCAUAGAUAUUAGGAGGAACACCAGUGGCGAAGGCGGCUUACUGGACUGUAACUGACACUGAGGCUCGAAAGCGUGGGGAGCAAACAGGAUUAGAUACCCCUGUAGUC
This 440-nucleotide ribosomal RNA is filed under the name uncultured bacterium. RNAcentral's name for it is "partial 16S ribosomal RNA". It matches the Rfam family "Bacterial small subunit ribosomal RNA", at positions 338 to 795 of the family's 1533-position model. The record is from RNAcentral.